RNAcentral lists this transfer RNA (72 nucleotides) under Methanobacteriota archaeon. Its description in RNAcentral is "Euryarchaeota archaeon (groundwater metagenome) tRNA-Arg". It matches the Rfam family "tRNA". From Rfam's summary of the family: Transfer RNA (tRNA) molecules are approximately 80 nucleotides in length. Their secondary structure includes four short double-helical elements and three loops (D, anti-codon, and T loops). Lineage: Archaea; Methanobacteriati; Methanobacteriota. The record is from RNAcentral.
GGAGUCGUAGCAUAAUGGAUAGUGCGCUCCCCUUCGGAGGGAGAGGCGGGGGUUCGAAUCCCUCCGACUCCA